AGUGAACGCUGGCGGUAGGCCUAACACAUGCAAGUCGAACGGCCGCACAGUAAGAGCUUGCUCUUACGGGUGGCGACUGGCGGGCGGGUGAGGAAUACAUCGCAAUCUACUUUUUCGUGGGUGAGAACGUAGGGAAACUUACGCUAAUACCGCAUACGACCUACGGGUGAAAGCAGGGGAUCUUCGGACCUUACCCGAUCCUAUGAGCCGAUGUCGGAUUAGCUAGUUGGCGGGGUAAAGGCCCACCAAGGCGACGCUCCGUAGCUGGUCUGAGAGGAUGAUCAGCCACACUGGAACUGAGACACGGUCCAGACUCCUACGGGAGGCAGCAGUGGGGAAUAUUGGACAAUGGGCGAAAGCCUGAUCCAGCCAUACCGCGUGGGUGAAGAAGGUCUUCGGGUUGUAAAGCCCUUUUAUUGGGAAAGAAAAGCAGUAAGUUAAUACCCCGCUGUUCUGACGGUACCCAAAGAAUAAGCACCGGCUAACUUCGUG
Molecule: ribosomal RNA, 492 nt
Filed under: uncultured bacterium
Lineage: Bacteria
Description: partial 16S ribosomal RNA
Rfam family: Bacterial small subunit ribosomal RNA
Source: RNAcentral